Xiphias gladius (swordfish) is the source of this 1777-nucleotide long non-coding RNA. RefSeq lists it as uncharacterized. The record is from RefSeq and is a predicted model, not a curated record. NCBI's taxonomy places the organism in Eukaryota, Metazoa, Chordata, Actinopteri, Istiophoriformes, Xiphiidae. The transcript is spliced from 4 exons.
AGCCCAAAAUGACGGGGAUGAGUGUCCGACAACUCAUUGUGAGAGUAAACCUUCUGGGUGUUAAAGGAAUGGCGAUAUCCGGACUAGCCCGGGGCAGCUAGCCGUGGGACCAUGGGCUAAUUGCCGCGGGAGGAGCAGGUGGAUUUGAUUCACAGAAAACCCACCUGUGCUCAGGGAGGAGCAGAACUGCAGGUGCUGAGUGGCCGGCGCUAACAACGCCAACGCCGCCUUUAACGUCCUGUCAUUCAGCCGUGGAGUUAAAUUGCCGCGAAAUUAGUUGCUCGUCACUCUGCGGGCGGUCAUUGGCCCCUGGCCGGUCCGCGGACCCCGCGUUGGGAACCAGCGCCCACUCUUGUUUUUGGGGAGAAGGCGCCCACGUGACAGGGGGAAGCAGCAGCCAGCACACCGCCGCUGUUGUCUUGGUAGCUUCCACAGCGCCGGACGGAGAAGUAGUAGGAGGAGGAGGAGAAGGAGAAGGAGAAGAAGGAGGAGAAGAAGAAGAAGGAGAAGAAGAAGAAGGAGAAGAAAAAGAAGAAGAAAGCGGGGCAGAGAGAGAGAGACACACACAAACACGGAGAAAGAGAGACGCUCGUCGAGGGACGACUUGGUCAAAGACAGAAUCUCCGCUUGUAACGUGAGAACUCCGCAGGCUCCUCCACACGGCACGGCACGGCACGGCACGGCUGGCACGCACCAUGGACGGUUAUGCCCGGACCGAAGACGAGCUGUUCUCCGCCUGCCUCCUGAACCUCACCUGGGAGAAUUGCUACGAGCAGUCCUUCUCUCACCUUAUGGUUGCAGACCGCAUCAAACAAAAUUGUUGUUUGCGAAUGGGGAGCCAGUGAGGGAUCAUGCUGCUGCUGUUUCACUAGCGACAACCCCCAAUCCGCACAUCAUGCUGGAGAGUGAGCUGCUUCGUGUGGAGCACCCAGAACUACUCCCACCUCUUACAACAACCCCCAAAGGAAUAUAUCUAAUUUCCACGUUGGUUUCAGGAGGGGCGGGGGGUGUUCCUUUGAUUAUCUCCGCUGCCGAUUAAUUGCUUUUCUUAACCUCUGCACAGACGUGCUCCUACACCGCCCCGAAGCCUGCCGCACGCGCUCAGAUGGACCCCUGCCAGGAAAAAAACAAACCCCACCAUGCUUCUAUCUCCCCACCUUCUCCCAAUUACUGACCUUCAUCAUUUCUUUUCGCCUUGGAUGUUAUCAUUGGCAUUAUCAGUGUAUUUACUUUGUUUGUUUAGCUUGUUACUUGGCGCAUUGCAGCAUUCUUGGCUAGAUUUUAAGGCGGGCUGAGCAUGUGUGAGAAGUGUAUUAAUUUCUGGGAAUAGUUACAGCAGUAGAUGAGAUGAGUGUAUGUUGUUAAGUAAGUGUAUUAUCUGUCAUAUAGUGUCUGUGGGUCACCAACUGACAUGGGGGGGUUGCAGGAAUAUUACACUGCCUUUACUGCCUUUUUUGGAAAUGUCCUUAUUCCAUUAUUUAAUAGAUUUUGGCCUUGAGUUGUGCUGGCCAAGCACAACACUGAGUGCUCUUUUCCAUCUCACUUUUUGCCUGUGAGACUCACAUGUUCAUCAGGUCUCUGGAAAGGUCCCAGCACCUGCCUCCAAACACUGUCAUAUAGCAGUGGCCUGGCUCCUUCAGACCAUGGCCGUUUUGAUUUAUUUUUCUCUUGAGGACAUCCUGAAUGCAUGUUCAGGAACCAUCUCAGGGAUUUAUACACUACAUGUCACGUGCAGACCACUUAGUGUACCGUCACUGUUUGGACUGAGCUAAAAAAU